Non-coding RNA from Nelumbo nucifera (sacred lotus), 967 nucleotides. Lineage: Eukaryota; Viridiplantae; Streptophyta; Magnoliopsida; Proteales; Nelumbonaceae. The record is from RefSeq and is a predicted model, not a curated record.
UUACUUACCUUUCUGGUGUAGGGUCAAGAUGGGUUGAUUUGGAGAUGGAUUUGAAUGAUAAGUCUAAAGUAGAGAAUGAUGACUUUAUUGAUAUGGUUUUAAUGAUCACCAAAUGGCCAAGCUAAAAAAGAGCAAGGCAUUCACACUGGAAAGGGAGAGGGAGAUCAGACAGGUUGUGGAAUCAGUGAAUGAGCUUGCUCAAAUUAUGAAGGAUCUCUCAGUCCUUGUGAUAGACCAGUGCACAGCUUGCCUUACCAAUGCCGGAAGAGAAGGGUCUAGUAAUUUCAACUGCACCCAUAGUAGCUGAUCAAACGCCACAUGUGCGUACCAAUCCAGUUCUACUACCUCCACCAGUGCCAAGCCCAGUAUCAGGAGCAACCUCUGAAACCUAUGAUUGUGAACCCAUUAUUGAAGUACCGGCAACACCAGAACAUGAAUGUAAAGAAAUAACAGAAAGUGAUAUUGAGGAUGCUUUUUCUGAGGAUCCUGAUGAAAUUCAAGUUAUCAAACUCAAUAUUGAAGAGUUCAAGCUCAACUUGCAGAAAUACAUAGAAGAGAAUUGAAUAAGGGAAUGCAUUUUAGUAGCUAUAAUGAUAUAAGUUUGUGGACUGAAGUGGUCUUACGAUAACUGCGAGCUAGCAUAUGGAGGAAAUGAUAGUGAAGCGAGUGAUUAAUUCUUUUUGUUUGGAAUCAACAUUCCACACAGCCUGUGCUUAAAUUCUGCGAGCACACUGCAGCAGUAAAAGCAAUUCCAUGGUCCCCACAUCUCCAUGGAUAAACAGUAGUAAUUGUGUUGAUAUUAUGUGCUUUAAACGAGGGCUUUUACUACUGUCAUACACCACCCCUUCAUUGCCGGCUAGCAUCAUGUAUUUUUCUCUCCUUGUUCAACCAAUAUGUUAAGUGGAUUUGCAUUGGAAGAUGUGCUUCAUUAUUAGAGAAUUUGAUUAUUUUUUUAAGUUAUUGUACU